AGGACGAACGCUGGCGGCGUGCCUAACACAUGCAAGUCGAACGAGGUCCAACCGGUAGCAAUACCGGUGAAGACCAAGUGGCGAACGGGUGAGUAGCACGUGAGCAACCUGCCCCGAAGACCGGGACAACACCGGGAAACCGGUGCUAAUACCGGAUAUCCCCACCGAGUCGCAUGGCUUGGUGAGGAAAUGGAUUCCGCUUCGGGAGGGGCUCGCGGCCUAUCAGCUUGUUGGUGGGGUAAUGGCCUACCAAGGCGACGACGGGUA
Molecule: ribosomal RNA, 267 nt
Filed under: uncultured bacterium
Lineage: Bacteria
Description: partial small subunit ribosomal RNA
Rfam family: Bacterial small subunit ribosomal RNA
Source: RNAcentral